RNAcentral lists this transfer RNA (63 nucleotides) under Pyrrhidium sanguineum. RNAcentral describes it as "tRNA-Arg". Lineage: Eukaryota; Metazoa; Arthropoda; Insecta; Coleoptera; Cerambycidae. The record is from RNAcentral.
AAACAGAAAGCAAAUCUUGCAUUUAGUUUCGACCUAAAAGUUUGGUGAUAACACCUCUGUUUG